CCGGAGCCGAUCUGCCACGGCCGCCCUUCCCCAAACCACCAACCGCCACCCCUUCCCAGGUCGUCGCCGCGCCCCUGGCCGCGAGCACCGUGGGCGUCGACCGCCUCUGACCUCCGCGGCCCCGGUGACCUCCUGCUGCGCCGCCGCAGCCGGAUCUAGUCGUCCUCCUUCAGGUGCCCCCCAUCCCGACCCUGGCAUCGCCCAUCCCUCCACCACCUCGGAUCUACGCCGUCUUCGCCGCUGGGGGAAACAGCAUCCCUACCCUGCGUUGAGGUCACCGUGGCCCUCUCCCCAGAUCCGGCGAGCCCCCUCGAGGCCCUCUCCUCCCCAGCUCCUAUGCAGUUUGCCUUAUGGGCCCUCGCCAUCUCCGGCGAGUGUGGUGCAGUGCGGGGCUCGCAUGGGUGCAGUCCAGGGACGCAGUAGGGCCGUGGUGGCGCUGGGCUACGGCUGAGCGACGGGUUCGAUGGAUCGAUGGCUUUUGCUACAAGAUCUGCACUACAUCAAGCUCCCCGCUGCAUCGAGCUCCCGCUGCAUCGGCUCCUCACCAAGCGCCCUCCCAAAUUACAACAAGACAACAGUUUUGUUUGCCGAGGCAUCGCUGGGACGGUGCUGGAUGGGGGCGCCGGCGCAUCCGUGCGGGUGUGUAGUUUGCCGGCGCGGCGCGUGUGGUACACUGGUUCCGGUGAUGUUGUUCGCCGGCGUACUCCCCUAUCCAACAGAGAGUAACAUUUGUCACUCCGACGGGGAUCUCACAUGCAGUACACUUGGGCGACGUUGGGAUUGCAUCCAGGAUUUGCAAGUUUGAGCGGGCGGGCGGGCGUGCAGCUCACCAACCUCUGCCUCGCAGCUCGUUUGGCUCUGGUUGGGUCAAAUGGAACUUGACCCAGAACCUAGGAAUUUGAUUCCAUUUUUGUUUGAGGAGUUUUUAUGUAAACUUGGACAGUAAAUUUGUGUAACUAUAAAAAAGAACAUUACAGUUCUCUCGA
This is a long non-coding RNA of Triticum dicoccoides, 986 nucleotides long. RefSeq lists it as uncharacterized. The record is from RefSeq and is a predicted model, not a curated record. The transcript has 2 exons. Lineage: Eukaryota; Viridiplantae; Streptophyta; Magnoliopsida; Poales; Poaceae.